GGGCCCGCACAAGCGGUGGAGUAUGUGGUUUAAUUCGAUGCAACGCGAAGAACCUUACCAGGGUUUGACAUCCUGCGAAUCUCUUGGGAAACGAGAGAGUGCCUUCGGGAGCGCAGUGACAGGUGGUGCAUGGCUGUCGUCAGCUCGUGUCGUGAGAUGUUGGUUAAGUCCCGCAACGAGCGCAACCCACGUCUUUAGUUGCCAGCAUUUAGUUGGGCACUCUAGAGAGACUGCCGGUGAUAAACCGGAGGAAGGUGUGGAUGACGUCAAGUCAUCAUGCCCCUUACAUCCUGGGCUACACACGUACUACAAUGCUACGGACAAAGGGCCAGCAAGUUCGCGAGGACAAG
This 350-nucleotide ribosomal RNA is filed under the name uncultured bacterium. RNAcentral's name for it is "bacterial SSU rRNA". It matches the Rfam family "Bacterial small subunit ribosomal RNA", at positions 917 to 1267 of the family's 1533-position model. The record is from RNAcentral.